Molecule: unclassified non-coding RNA, 1213 nt
Filed under: Hevea brasiliensis (rubber tree)
Lineage: Eukaryota; Viridiplantae; Streptophyta; Magnoliopsida; Malpighiales; Euphorbiaceae
Source: RNAcentral
UAGAAUUUAAAAAAAAAAAAAAAGGACUUCACACAAUAAUCAUGUGAUCAUGAAAGAAAAAAAUUACCAAAUGCCCUAAGAAAUCUCCCCUGCUUCAUCUUCUUCUUCUAUGGGUUUUAAUUUGGCAUUAAACUCAAUCAAGCCUACAGAGAAACCAACUCAAGAGCAAGACUCCCUUAACCAAUCCAAGAUUCUUCUCUUACCAACACCAACCCCUCUAAUCCCUCCACUCCACUGAAACACAACCACCAUCAUCAACUCCUUCCUCCUACGUCAUUGCUCAGUUUUCUCCCAUCUGUGAUAGAAGAUUUGUCUCGCCACACAAAACUUUAUCCUAUAAUUUGCAGAAAUAGGAACAAAAUAAGGAAAAGAAAGGAUAGGGAAGAACAAGAUUACCUAAUCCAACAAACCAAAGAGUUAGGUUGUUUCUACAAGUCCCAUCACAAGAAAGUUCUCCAAUACUAUUCAUUUCUUCUUGGUUUAUUUGUUGGUCAUUUUUCUAUAUUCAAUCGUAUCUCUUUUCCUUCUUUGAUUCUUCGAAUAAACAAGAGCAUUGCUUACUUGGCAUUUUCAUUCAAUAGCAAAAGUAAAGGAGGGAGGCAUAGAUAGGUGACUAGGACAAUGGUGGUAGAGAAGAUGACACAAUCCCUAAUUUCUUGUCAAUCCUAAAGUGAAAGGAGAUUUUAAAUUAAGGGCGUGUUGGCUAUUUAAUUUAUAGUUUAGUUGUAUGUUUUUCAUGUGAUCUUCACUUUUAUGCCCUUAAAGAUCCACAAUUCUCAUGCUUAUUCGUACAGGUGAACCCCUAUUGUUCAUGUUAGUAUUUAGACAAUAAAAAUCAGUGAAAUACACUUGAUUGUAAAUAAUAACUUUAUUCCGACACUCGAUUAGAAAAAAAAAAUAAAUAAAUAUAUAAAACUGAAAUAGAAAAAAUUGGAAAAAUUCAAAUAUCACUGGGUGACUUGUGCCACUAUCCCAAAAAUAAAUGAAGGGAAAAACAAGUCUCACAAUUACCAAUUUACUCUUUAAUUAUUUUAACCUAUGUAGCAUGGGGAAGGAAAAGCAACAUGGUGAAAUGCAGAAACGGACAGGGGAAAACGGCAUUUUCCAAAAUAUAGAAACAAAAACAUGAGGGGAAACGCCUAAAUAUAAAAAAUCUAAGGGUAUAUUCAUAAAUAUAAAAUAUAUUUACAUAAAUAUUAUUUAAGAUUUAAUA